Molecule: transfer RNA, 72 nt
Filed under: Ovis aries (sheep)
Lineage: Eukaryota; Metazoa; Chordata; Mammalia; Artiodactyla; Bovidae
Rfam family: tRNA
About the family: Transfer RNA (tRNA) molecules are approximately 80 nucleotides in length. Their secondary structure includes four short double-helical elements and three loops (D, anti-codon, and T loops).
Source: Rfam by way of RNAcentral
UCCUUGGUGGCUCAGGUGGUAAAGCAUCUGCCUACAAUGCAGGAGACCUGGGUUCGAUCCCUGGGUUGGGAA